AUAGUGUGAAUGGAGAGCGGCUGUGAGAGUGAAUGUGAAGUGUUUGUGCGUGUUUGUGUCUUUUUAUGUUUCUGUUAAAAACCUACACAGUGAUCUUAUUUGAUCCGACCUGAGUUAGGCUCUGCUCCGGUCGGAGAUGAUAUGAAAAACGCUCUGCAGCCUCCAUGGCGGUGAGCAGUCGGCGAGGAACAACCCAGACAGGGCCUCCACGCUUCGUGCUGUGGUCAGAAGUGAUGAAUUGAUCAGAUAUACUAGUUCUGGUUGAACCUGAGCUUCGUUUCAGGCUUCACGGUGGACAAUGAGUACAGAGGCGAUUCUGAUCUAA
This is a non-coding RNA of Girardinichthys multiradiatus, 325 nucleotides long. RefSeq annotates it as small Cajal body-specific RNA 2. The transcript has a single exon. NCBI's taxonomy places the organism in Eukaryota, Metazoa, Chordata, Actinopteri, Cyprinodontiformes, Goodeidae. The record is from RefSeq and is a predicted model, not a curated record.